Molecule: long non-coding RNA, 3105 nt
Filed under: Canis lupus familiaris (dog)
Lineage: Eukaryota; Metazoa; Chordata; Mammalia; Carnivora; Canidae
Description: lncRNA (ENSCAFG00000055401.1, ENSCAFG00805025808.1)
Source: RNAcentral
AAGGGGAUGUAUAUCAUAAGCAUCAGAAAAAUUUAAAUAGAACAGUAUGAAAUUUCAGGAAGAAUGUAAGUUUCAAAAAUGUAGGUAUGAUACACAAUUUUUAAAAAAGAUUUUAUUUAUUUAUUCAUGAGAGACACAAAGAGAGAGACAGAGACAUAGGUAGAGGGAGAAGCAGUCUCCAUGUAGGGAGCCUGAUGUAGGACUCAAUUCCAGGACCUCAGGAUCAUGAUCCCAGCCAAAAGCAGAUACUCAACUACUGAGCACCCACUCAACCACUGGGCCACCCAGGCGCCCCGAUACACAGUUUUUAAUGAUUAAGAUCAGGGAUAAGAAUGUCAUAAGGUAUUUGAUGGUUAAGAAUUCUUUGGUAAUUUUUGAAGAGCAGCUUCCCAAAUUCAUGAGAGACAAAGCAAAGAAACAAAAAGUAAAUUAUAUUUUCUCUUCUGGCCAACAUAGAGAGAAAGGGUCCAGAUUUAUCCUUCAAAACAAAAACAACACAAAAAAGAGGUGGGGAGCAAUGUAAAACAAUAGUUUGUAAGACACUGGACAUCAGGCAGUAGAGAUUGAUCUCUGAGAGAUAGAAAACAAAUGAGGUGAGCCCUAUGGUCACCCCAGCUUACUUAAUGAGUUUCUAGGACAUGGCUCAGGGAGGGGGAACCCAGGCAGAGACCAAUGUUCACUCUAAAUUUAGGAGAUGAAGGUAAGAUACAUUGGAGAAUAAAAUGGGUAGGUAGACUUCUCAAGACCAGAAAGUAGAAUUUUAUGCAGAGAGAGAACUUCAGAAACUUUAAGACCCUACCCCCAUCUCAAUUGUUCAACUGAUUAUUGAUCUGCUCGUGUUGGUGAGGAAGUUACCCAAGAAAUGAAUUACCUAAAAAAAAUUAUAAGUAACAGUGCCUGGCACUUAUCCCAGGCCUAGAAAAGUGAUUGUUCCCGCUAGCCAGACUUAAAAUCUCAAGAUUCACAGGCAUUAGCUAGUGUACAUGGAAGAGUCUUGUCUCAAUAGUAAGGGAUCAUUUGCCAUAGAUUGAGCACUGCUCUGUUUCUGUCUAUCAAACCUAAAAAGGACCCAAAAGGAUCAGAGCAUUUCCAAGCAAUUUAACAGCAUGUAGAAACAAGUGUCAAAAAUAUUUAUAUAAUUAUUGGGGUGCCUGGGUGGCUCAUUUGGUUAAGCAUCUGACUCUUGAUUUUGGUUCAGGUUGUAAUCUCAGGGUCAUGGGAUUGAGCCCCAAAUCAGGCUCUGUGCUUGGCAUGGAGUCUGCUUGUCCCUCUGCCUCUACUUCCCCUCCAUUUGCGCUCUCUCUCUCUCAUAAAUAAAUAAAUAAAUAAAUAAAUAAAUAAAUUGAUUUAAAAAAAUUUAUAUACUUACAAAACUACCCAGUACCCACCUGGGUAAAAUUCACUAUUUCUGACAUCCAAAAAUAAAUUACUAGGGUGCAAGAGGAAGUAACAUGCUUCUCAUAAUUAAGAGAUGAACCAAUCAAUCAAAACUAAUCCAUAAUUGACACAGAUGUUAAAAUUAUUAGGGGAAGACAUUAGAACAGUUUUAAUGUCUAUAUUCCAAAUGUUCAAAAAAUUAAGUAGAGAUAUGGGAAGAUAAACUAAACCAAACUUCUAGAGAUGAGAAUUUCAAAGUGUGAGGUGAAAAUUAUAUUUUAAGGCAUUCAUGACAGAUCAGAUAUUGCAGAAAAAAAGAUUAUUGUACUUUAAGAUUUAGCAAGAGAAAUGACAUGAAAUACAUCACAAAAGGGGAAAAAAACACUUAAAAUGAGAAUAGCAUCAGUCAGCUGUAUUAAACUUCAAAGUGACCUAAUAUGUGGAUAACUGGAGUCUAUGAAGAAGAGAAGAAAAAUGCAGAGCAGAAAAGACAUCUGAAGAAAUUAUGGCAAUUUCCCCCCAAACUUGAUGGAAACUAUAAACACACAAAUUCAGGAUGUUUAACAAGCCUCAACCACAAGAAACAAAAAAUGACAAACAUGGCACAUCAUACUCAAUUUGCUCCAAAACAAUUAUAAAGAGAACAUCUUAAAUGCAGUCAAAGGGGAAAAAAAGGACACAUUAUGUUAAAAAAAAAAACCAGAGUGAUUUUAUACCUCUCCUCCAAAACAAUGCAAAUGAGAAAACAAUGGAACCAUCCUUUUUUUAAUAAAGAUUUUAUUCAUUUAUUUGAGAGAGAGAGAGAAUGAGCUGUGGAAGGGGCAGAGGGAGAAGGACAAGCAGACUCCCUGCUGAGCAGGGAGCCUGAUGUGGGGCUCAAUCCCAGGACCCUGAGAUCAUGACCUGAGCCGAAGUCAGAUGCUUAAACAACUGAGCAGCCUAUGCACCCCAGAGCCAUCAUUUUUUAAAAAAGAUUUAUUUAUUUAUUUUGGGGGUGGAGGGGCAGAGGAAGAGAGAGAAUCUUAAUGAGAUUUCCUACCCAGAAUAGAGCCCAAUACAGGGUUCAACCUCCCAACCCCGAGACUAUGACCUGAGCUGAAAAUCCAAGAGUUGGAUGCUUAACUAACUGAGCCACCCAGGCACCUGGAGCCAUCUUUUUUAAAGUAAUGAAAGACAAAACCUAUCAUCCUAGAGUUCUAUGCACAGAGAAAACAUCUUUAAAAAUAUCUUAAAAAGGGCAGCCCUGGUGGUGCAGCGGUUUAGCGCCACCUGCAGCCCAGGGUGUGAUCCUGGAGACCCGGGAUCGAGUCCCACGUCAGGCUCCUGCAUGGAGCCUGCUUCUCCCUCUGCCUGUGUCUCUGUCUCUGUCUCUCUCUCUCUCUUUCUCUGUGUGUGUCUCUCAUGAAUAAAUAAAUACAAAUCUUUAAAAAAAUCUUAAAAAAAACAAGGCAAAAUAAGAAAAAAUUCAAACAUAGAAGAACAAUUUCAUCACCAGCAGACAUAGAGUACAGUAUACUUUUCUUCUUCCUGAAGGAAAAUGAUAUAAUAGAUAUAUUGAUCUACACAAAGGAAGUUUCAAUAAUGAAAUUGAUUAUUAAAUGAGUAAAUAUUUUUAGAUGUUAAAAUAUAUUUAAGAGUGAUAUAUAUAGCUUUUAAGCCAAAGUAAUUAAAAGUAGUGUGGAGGUUAUAAAAUAUAUAAAAGUUAAUGAAUGUCCUCAUGCUACAGGC